CCUAGUCAUUGCAGCCUAAAAUAUUCAAUCCUUUUGUUUCAUCUUUUAUGUAAAUGGCUAGGAUUAAAGUCUCUGCCAAGAAGAAGAGGAGCAUGGCGUCUGCUAGAGCUCAACACUUGCAGCAGGAGUAUCAACUUCCUCUUGUUCUUGCCCUGCCAGCUCAACUCACCAGAAAUAGGUAUGCCCAUUUAAAUUUAAAUCAGAUAUUGUUCCUUACCCUUCUAAUUUAAUUCUUUGACACAUCUGCAGAGGCGAUUAGGAAGAUCUCCUUCUGCAACUCAAAAGGAACCUUGAGGAACUUCGACUUAAUCUGGAACAUGUCGAAAGCAAACUCAGCUCAAAGCCCAACAAAGAAGCAUGAAGGGAAAUGGAAAUAAGGGAAAUUUCAAGGACAAUAAAUGUAUCUCGUAGUUUUGCUUUGCUCUUCUUUUUUCACCUUCUCUUACUACUGAGUUGGUGUUGGGUCUGCUUCAAACUUUU
Manihot esculenta (cassava) is the source of this 480-nucleotide RNA transcript. RefSeq lists it as uncharacterized. Lineage: Eukaryota; Viridiplantae; Streptophyta; Magnoliopsida; Malpighiales; Euphorbiaceae. The transcript has 3 exons. The record is from RefSeq and is a predicted model, not a curated record.